Regulatory RNA element from Anaerofustis stercorihominis DSM 17244, 98 nucleotides. It matches the Rfam family "pan motif". Lineage: Bacteria; Bacillati; Bacillota; Clostridia; Eubacteriales; Eubacteriaceae. The record is from Rfam.
CGGAUGGUAUUCAUUUUGAAACUAUACCGUGGUAAAUAUUUUGUUUUUCAUUCUAAUUAUUAGAAUUAAAGCUUUUAUCGAAGGAAAGAGACUUUAUG